RNAcentral lists this ribosomal RNA (253 nucleotides) under uncultured bacterium. RNAcentral describes it as "partial 16S ribosomal RNA". It matches the Rfam family "Bacterial small subunit ribosomal RNA", at positions 524 to 776 of the family's 1533-position model. The record is from RNAcentral.
UACGAAGGACCCGAGCGUUAUCCGGAUUUAUUGGGUUUAAAGGGUGCGUAGGCGGAUUAGUAAGUCAGUGGUGAAAGCCCGUCGCUUAACGGCGGAACUGCCAUUGAUACUGCUAGUCUUGAGUAUGGUUGAGGUGGGCGGAAUGUGUCAUGUAGCGGUGAAAUGCUUAGAUGUGACCCAGAACACCAAUUGCGAAGGCAGCUCGCUAAGCCAUAACUGACGCUGAGGCACGAAAGCGUGGGGAGCAAACAGG